UUCGGCUACAAAUACUACUUCAACCGUUGAAGACAAACUCUAUAAAAUUGAAAGGAAGGUGGAUAUAAUUUUGAAGUACAUUAAACAAACAAAACAGGUGAUCAAUAUAGAUGAUGAUGAUCUUAUUGACAAAAAAGCUAAAUUCACUACGG
This is a long non-coding RNA of Amphimedon queenslandica, 152 nucleotides long. RefSeq lists it as uncharacterized. NCBI's taxonomy places the organism in Eukaryota, Metazoa, Porifera, Demospongiae, Haplosclerida, Niphatidae. The transcript has 3 exons. The record is from RefSeq and is a predicted model, not a curated record.